GGGCCCGCACAAGCGGUGGAGUAUGUGGUUUAAUUCGAUGCAACGCGAAGAACCUUACCAGGGCUUGACAUCCUGCGAAUCUCUGGGAAACCGGAGAGUGCCUUCGGGAACGCAGUGACAGGUGGUGCAUGGCUGUCGUCAGCUCGUGUCGUGAGAUGUUGGGUUAAGUCCCGCAACGAGCGCAACCCACGUCUUUAGUUGCCAGCAUUUAGUUGGGCACUCUAGCCAGACUGCCGGUGCAAACCGCGAGGAAGGUGGGGAUGACGUCAAAUCAUCACGGCCCUUACGCCCUGGGCCACACACGUGCUACAAUGGCAGGUACAGCAAGCAGCAAGUUCGCGAGGACAAGCAAAUCCCAUAAACCGUGGCUCAGUUCAGAUCGUAGGCUGCAACUCGCCUACGUGAAGGCGGAAUCGCUAGUAAUCG
Molecule: ribosomal RNA, 426 nt
Filed under: uncultured bacterium
Lineage: Bacteria
Description: bacterial SSU rRNA
Rfam family: Bacterial small subunit ribosomal RNA
Source: RNAcentral